CAGGGGGGGCAAAUGUUGUUCGGAAUCACUGGGCGUAAAGGGAGCGUAGGCGGGUUCUUAAGUAAGGUGUUUAAUCCCGGGGCCCAACCCCGGACCGGCACUUUAAACUGGGGAUCUUGAAUAGUGGAGAGGUCAGUGGAAUUGGGGGUGUAGCGGUGGAAUGCGUAGAGAUCCCCAAGAACACCAGUUGCGAAGGCGGCUGACUGGACACAUAUUGACGCUGAGGCUCGAAAGCAUGGGGAGCAAACAGGAUUAGAUACCCUGGUAGUCCAUGCCAUAAACGAUGAAUACUAGGUUUUGGGCCCGUCAACGGUCCAGAGCCGCAGCUAACGCGUUAAGUAUUCCGCCUGGGGAGUACGGUCGCAAGACUG
RNAcentral lists this ribosomal RNA (371 nucleotides) under uncultured organism. RNAcentral describes it as "bacterial SSU rRNA". It matches the Rfam family "Bacterial small subunit ribosomal RNA", at positions 526 to 896 of the family's 1533-position model. The record is from RNAcentral.